Cydia splendana is the source of this 202-nucleotide long non-coding RNA. RefSeq lists it as uncharacterized. The record is from RefSeq and is a predicted model, not a curated record. Lineage: Eukaryota; Metazoa; Arthropoda; Insecta; Lepidoptera; Tortricidae. The transcript is spliced from 2 exons.
UCUACGAAGCAGAACCGGGUUUGAAUACUGGUAUGGGCAUUUAUUUGUGUGUUUGUCACAAAUAUUUGUUCCUGAGUUAUGGAUGUUUUCUAUGUAUUUAAGUAUUUAUAAAUAUUUAUAUAUUACAUAUAGGUAUCGUUUACCCACAACACAAGUCUUAUUGAGCUUACUGUGGGACUUAGUCAAUUUGUGUAAUAAUGUC